This 67-nucleotide transfer RNA is filed under the name Encyrtus infelix. Its description in RNAcentral is "tRNA-Ile". Lineage: Eukaryota; Metazoa; Arthropoda; Insecta; Hymenoptera; Encyrtidae. The record is from RNAcentral.
AAUGGGGUGCCUGAAUAAAGGGUUAUCUUGAUAGGAUAAAUCAUAUAAAUUAAUUUUAUUUCCGUUG